Lagopus muta (rock ptarmigan) is the source of this 1632-nucleotide long non-coding RNA. RefSeq lists it as uncharacterized. Lineage: Eukaryota; Metazoa; Chordata; Aves; Galliformes; Phasianidae. The record is from RefSeq and is a predicted model, not a curated record. The transcript has 3 exons.
GGGAUAUGGGAAAAAGAUGGACUUAGGUUGAGCACUGUUUCAUAAGUUUGGUUGGAAAGUCCUCAAGAGAUGUGUGGGCAGUACGAAGAUAGAGUUGGACUGUUCUCAGUGUUCCACCAGGAGGAAAUUGAAAUGUCAAGUGUUCCAUGCAUUUGAGCCCAUGAGUUAAGGAUGUGGGAUUCAGCGCUCGAGUGUCCAGACACAGAGAAGAUAGGAGGGAAAAGAUUUCUUCUCAGAUGUCUCUUAAGAGCACUGACUCCAGCUGCGACCAGAGCAUGGGGAAAUAGUCUUCAUUUGGCAGAUCUGGGCCACAGGACUGGAAAAAUCAUUUGAACAGCUCCUGCUACAUGAUUAGAUCCUGCAAGUCUACAUGCAUUCUGCUUGUAUUCUGAAUGGUCUUCUGAGGCUUGGUGCUUCUGUUGACCUGUUGAUGGAGUAUUGCUCAAACACUGAUAAAUUCAUGUCUUUGUAAGUCAGAGGUGUAUGAGUAUGGAGAAUGAAACAGUUUAUAUAUAACGUCUGUUUGGGAGGUGUGUGGUGUUUGUAUGGGGAUAGCACAGAGAGGAAGUUAGGAUAUUAGCCAGUGAGAAUGCUCAACAAAUAUUGAUUAUUGAGUCCGAAUUAGGAAAAGAUGUGUGGACAUCUUUUGGAGGUAACAGCCAUGCUGAAGGGAAGUCACUGUGCAGAUUAGCAGUCGAGCUCAAAUGUGUGCUCUAUUGCUAGGCAAGGGAUCAGUCCUUUCCUUAUGGUAUUCUGCGCUUAAAUAAAUUGAAGUCAGCUCUGGAGUUAUAAAUUUACCUUUUUCUCCCAAGUUUUGUUUCUUUGUCAUCCUUUCCAGGUCAGCUUUUAGAGCAAAGCACAGCAAGAAUAUCAGCAAACUAGGGGUAUAAAGAUUUGUGUGCAUCCAGCUGUUCAGUACUAGCACAAAGCUGGCUGUAAGCACAGAACAUGUAUCCAAAAGGAGCAGGGCAGAUCCUGGAGCAGUGUGUUGGUGCAGUGAGCAGGGCUGGUGUGCCCAGGUGGGACACUAUGCUGAUUCUGUCCCUCUGUGUCCUGGUGGAGAAGGAGAUCUCUGCAGAGGUCUGUGCUGAGCAAUGAUAAAUGUGUUCCAGGACUGAACUCACUGCAUUGCUAUGCUUGUGUGAAAUUGGUAAUUAAUAAUAUUUUCAAAAUAUUGAUGUGAUAGGAGACAGAUGUGUUCCAAUCAGUUAAAUUUUCUGUGAAAAAAAUAAACCACUUAAUGGAAGUGCAGUGGCUAAAAGUUUGUGAUUUCAAUGCAUCUUUUCCUUCUCCGAAAGGAAAGUGAUUGACUAGAUGUACUUUGUUUUUCGUGCAGAAAUCCCAAUCGAAUUUGAAAUGAAUUCACAUGUGAAGGAAGGUUGGUUCGGUCCACCUUUCUGUAUCUGGUUACAGUUUGCUCUCAGAGUAUGUAUAAUCAUUUGCUGGGAAUGUUCUCAUAUGUAGGAGUACGUACUACAAUCUGUGCCAGUUUAAGCUUAAGUACUGUCCAAGGACUUGGGAAGGAUUGUUGUGAAAUACAAGAAUAACAAGAAAGCUUUGUUUUUCCAGCAUCUGAAAGGAUAAUAAAAUUCUUUCCUUCUUUGAUUUUAAUUUGUUUGGUAUAGAAGAAAC